This 468-nucleotide ribosomal RNA is filed under the name uncultured bacterium. Its description in RNAcentral is "partial 16S ribosomal RNA". It matches the Rfam family "Bacterial small subunit ribosomal RNA", at positions 28 to 507 of the family's 1533-position model. The record is from RNAcentral.
GACGAACGCUGGCGGCGUGCUUAACACAUGCAAGUCGAACGGAAAGGCCCUGCUUUUGUGGGGUGCUCGAGUGGCGAACGGGUGAGUAACACGUGAGUAACCUGCCCUUGACUUUGGGAUAACUUAAGGAAACUGGGGCUAAUACCGGAUAGGAGCUCCUGCUGCAUGGAGGGGGUUGGAAAGUUUCGGCGGUUGGGGAUGGACUCGCGGCUUAUCAGCUUGUUGGUGGGGUAGUGGCUUACCAAGGCUUUGACGGGUAGCCGGCCUGAGAGGGUGACCGGCCACAUUGGGACUGAGAUACGGCCCAGACUCCUACGGGAGGCAGCAGUGGGGAAUAUUGCACAAUGGGCGGACGCCUGAUGCAGCAACGCCGCGUGCGGGAUGACGGCCUUCGGGUUGUAAACCGCUUUCGCCUGUGACGAAGCGUGAGUGACGGUAAUGGGUAAAGAAGCACCGGCUAACUACGUG